RNAcentral lists this small RNA (544 nucleotides) under Pongo abelii (Sumatran orangutan). Its description in RNAcentral is "retained intron". Lineage: Eukaryota; Metazoa; Chordata; Mammalia; Primates; Hominidae. The record is from RNAcentral.
AGCGGUUGUGUGAAGAUGGAGGUAGGAACUUGAUAGCUAAGAAGGCUGGCGAGAGAACGUGGCCGACCGGGUUGAAGCAGAGACGGGAAGCCGGGCGGAGAGGCGACUGACGGGAGAGGAGAGAGAGCGGGGUUUGGGGAGUGUUGUCAGAAUGUCGGGGUCAGAAGCCAUCGCUCCAAGCUGACUCCCUGCUCCCCCUAACUUAUCCCCGCGACUUUUUUUUGGUUUCCAGUUUCCCGGAGGAAAUGACAAUUACCUGACGAUCACAGGGCCUUCGCACCCCUUCCUGUCAGGGGCCGAGACAUUCCACACACCAAGCUUGGGUGAUGAGGAAUUUGAAAUCCCACCUAUCUCCUUGGAUUCUGAUCCCUCAUUGGCUGUCUCAGAUGUGGUUGGCCACUUUGAUGACCUGGCAGACCCUUCCUCUUCACAGGAUGGCAGUUUUUCAGCCCAGUAUGGGGUCCAGACAUUGGACAUGCCUGUGGGCAUGACCCAUGGCUUGAUGGAGCAGGGCGGGGGGCUCCUGAGUGGGGGCUUGACCAUG